Molecule: long non-coding RNA, 3389 nt
Organism: Columba livia (rock pigeon)
Lineage: Eukaryota; Metazoa; Chordata; Aves; Columbiformes; Columbidae
Exons: 2
Source: RefSeq, a predicted model, not a curated record
UACAAUCAAAAGGCAUAACAUUUUAAUAAUUACAGAUGAUUAAAAACAGAUAGUUCGGAGGAACAGCUGGGUAACACUGCUGUGUACGUGCUGCACGCGAGCAUCCACCCUUAAAUUAAAUUGAGAAUUGAAAAAUCCAUUUUAAAAAGCAAUGCACAAGUGUGAUUUGAGGAGUUACCUGAUCUGGUGGAUCUUGCAAUGAGCAGAUUACAAGAUGGUGAGUAGAACCGAGCAUAACCCAUCGACGGCGUCGGCUCCGCUCCAUUCACUGCUGGAAUGCAGCAAAACAAGCUCCAUUUCUCAUUAACAGCUUAGAAACCAAAUGCAUUCGAAGCAAGCAGUGACUGCAAAAAAUGUUCUCUUAGAAUUCCUGUCUUGCACACCUCACGGGGACGCAGCAAAGGACGCAGCUGGUCCAAGUUUGCUGGGAGACAAAAUACCUUAGUUAUUCCUAUUUCCUUGCUCGCGUUCGCCUCUAAACCAAGGCACCGAGGUCAACAUUUUCCAUGGGGACAGGUGCUGAAUCCAGGUUGUUAUCUACUUAGUAGAUUAAUUAAAUCCUACUGGAAAAUUAGGAUGAUUGAAAGUGGCCACUAACUGAAUGCAACUAACUUUUUCGUGUUGGACUCGUCUAAAUUAAGCAGCCGCACACAAUAAACUCAGUCAACAGCAGAUGAUGAGAGGCAAUUCCCAGGCGAGCCCGAUCUGCUGUAGGAGUGUAUUAAGCAAGGUUGGCUACAUUAAUGACUAAUAUCAGACGAGAUGGAUUUAAUCUUAGCAUUUGUCUGGGACAAGCAAUUUGAGUGAUUUGAGAAAUUGGUUAUAAUUCAGCAGUUGUUUUCAGGAUGAAGCUGCAGCUCCGGUUUAACUCAGUGGGACUGUUGCAAUCAUCUUUAAGUAGGUGGAUAGAUCUUAUGAAUCAAAAUCUAAUAAUUUUGACAAUACUAAAAAACCAGCAAAAAUGUACUUGGUAAAAUAAAGGGAAGUGAGUGCAAUCUCAAAGUUGCUAAAACAAGGGGGAAACUGCACUUGUUUGUAUUCGUUUGCUCCUGCGGUAAUUAGCUCUGCGGAUUUCCCGAGAAGUCUCUGCGAAGGAGUCACUGAGAGCUGUAACACAUUAUUCAGCAAGUAUCACUUUUUGGAACGGAACCAGUGUUCAUUAGAGAGCCAUAAACAGACUUUUUACAAUGAAAAUGUAACAAAGUCGGCUGGUUUGAUGUUUGCGAAAGGAAUACCGAUUCCCCUGCUGUCUCGGGGGAAAUCUGCUAUUUUCAUGAAGACUCUUCUAAACCAAUAAAUCCUUAACCAGCAAGAGAGCCGGUGGAGAUGCACAGAUCUUAGUAACUCAUCGUAAUCCUUUGUAAUCCCUUUAGAAAUACAACCUGCUCACAAGGAUGUGUUCUGCAAAAACAUUCCCAGUCAUUCCGGACUGAAGAACCCAAUGGCUUGGGUUGUUUUCUAUAGAGCUGAGGAACCAGCUGCAAGGAGAUGGUGGUUGGGCACGGAGUUCACAGAACAGGGCGCAGGACACGGGGAAGCUGUGCUAACCUUUCUGGAAUUCCACAUCUGGAAUUUAAUCCAUCAUUUCAAUGCCUCUGUUGAAAAAAACAAGAGGGUUUUCAGUGCUCCCUAUGCCAAAAGGCAGCUGAGAAGAUCUGAGAAUGGACCUCAUUCUCGGAAAUGCUGACCCACCUCGCACAAGUUUGCCUGUGUUUUAAGGAAACCAGAAACAAUCAAAACGUUCAACCUAAGAAAACACAAACUAAAUGAGAAUCUGGGAAACAAACCAGCCUCAUCUAAUAAUCCAAACUGAACAAAAGAUUCUCAGUGUUACAGAGAAAAUAUAAACUUGCCUUAAGCUGCAACAUUACAAGAAAGAAAUUUGGUUAAACUUCAGCCCAAGCUUUAGAAAAGUUGAGGGUAUUUUUUUCCCCCAUAGAUUUCAAGUCUGAUGGGGAACCAGUUAAUUGACUUUCUGAUCCACAAAGAGAAGAGGGGGGGAACAAGAUAAUCCUUAACCAACAGCAAAAGGCUGAUGGCAAGUGCAAGGGUAACUAAUUUAUCUUCAAAGUCACCACAGAUUCAUGCUCUGGGAGAAGUGCAUAAUUAACACUGCAAGGGGAGCCGCACCGAGCAGCGCUAUCGAUGAACCUGUCCUGCAGGUAUAAAUUCACAUUCCGAGCUGACAGGAUAGUUGAUGGAGAUCAGCACAGCUCUGCGGCUGGAGCCCAACGGCAUCGACUCGGCACCCAGUGCCGCAAACCGGCUGCCAAAGCUGCACCUCAACCAUUACACAAGGUUUUCUCUGCUGCAAAAAUUAUUUCAGCCAUUAACUGAACUCGACUCAGCUCUCUCAUAAAUAAUUUUGUUAAUAAGCAGAUGUUAAUUAUAUUCACUGGUGGGUUUUUUUUCCUAUUUCCCAAGUUUGUUGUCAGUCGAAUGAACCAAGGUGAGAGAUGUAUCAAACAAAUGAUGCCUGGAGCAGAUAACUCAGAACUCAGUGCUGCUUAGAGACUACUAAGUAAGGUCUGAUCUUCUGCAUAUAGGGCACUUUCAACAGCAAUAGUCCACAGUGUUGCUCAUCUUUAAACUGAUCUGUAUGGUGUGAGGCAUCUAACCCAAUCAAGUGCUCCUCAAAAUCCCACUGACACACCUUAGACAUGUACAGACCUUCAACUCUGAGACUUAGUCCCAACUCCACAUCGUUACAUCUGAGAUUUUCCAUUAUUAAAGCCUGCAUAAUGGUUGAUGAUGGUGUCUUGGGACAUCUAAUUAUACAGCAAUUGAAAUGGUUACAGUAGUUCUGCAACAUCAAAGUCGUGUUAUCUAUCAUGUGGCCAGUGUUGCUUUCUGCAUUACUUACAGGGGACGCCCUCCAAAGCUUAUUGGAGACAACACAAAGACCGUCACUGGUUUCACUGGUGUUAAGAACUGCUCUCGUAUGGAGCAUUUUCAUCCAAUCCACAGUCCACUCCAAACCAACUACCUUGUGUUCUACAUAUAUUAUCAGAAACAGCCAGAGACAGUUGCCUGGUCAAGGGCUUGCACAGGAACCACGUGCACUGGUCAUGAGCCAAACAGCAGCAUCUCCCUCAAGUAAACUGAGCAUUUAAUGUCUUAACUUCAUCACCAGAUUAUAUACAUGCAGGCUUUGGAAACACGACGCAGUGCUUAACACAUACUUUUGAUGCAAUGUUGGUGCAGUCUGAGUCUUGACAUCUACACAAGAGCCACGGGAGAAUUCCUCAAAUGCAUUUCCUGUAACAUAAACUGAGGAAUUUUUAGCAUGCAGGGAAGCUGUGAGUAAUAGAGCGGAAAUUAAAAUGCCUGUAUCUGGUAAAUAUCCAUGCUGGCCAUUAGCAAUGGCAAAUAAAGCUAUUAUUACAAAA